UACGGAGGGGGCUAGCGUUGUUCGGAAUUACUGGGCGUAAAGCGUGCGCAGGCGGUUUUGUAAGUCUGACGUGAAAUCCCCGGGCUCAACCUGGGAAUUGCGUUGGAGACUGCAAGGCUGGAGUCUGGCAGAGGGGGGUAGAAUUCCACGUGUAGCAGUGAAAUGCGUAGAGAUGUGGAGGAACACCGAUGGCGAAGGCAGCCCCCUGGGUCAAGACUGACGCUCAUGCACGAAAGCGUGGGGAGCAAACAGG
RNAcentral lists this ribosomal RNA (253 nucleotides) under uncultured bacterium. RNAcentral describes it as "partial 16S ribosomal RNA". It matches the Rfam family "Bacterial small subunit ribosomal RNA", at positions 524 to 776 of the family's 1533-position model. The record is from RNAcentral.